This 265-nucleotide ribosomal RNA is filed under the name uncultured archaeon. RNAcentral describes it as "partial 16S ribosomal RNA". It matches the Rfam family "Archaeal small subunit ribosomal RNA", at positions 717 to 982 of the family's 1478-position model. The record is from RNAcentral.
ACACGUCUACAUUAGAUACCCGGGUAGUCCCAGCCGUAAACUAUGCGCGUUAGGUGUAUCGGUGACCACGAGUUACCGAGGUGCCGAAGGGAAACCGUGAAACGUGCCGCCUGGGAAGUACGGUCGCAAGGCUGAAACUUAAAGGAAUUGGCGGGGGAGCACCACAACAGGUGGAGCCUGCGGUUUAAUUGGACUCAACGCCGGGAAGCUCACCGGAUAGGACAGCAGAAUGAUUGCCGGGCUGAAGACCCUGCAUGACUAGCUG